AUGUGGACCAGUCUCUCUGUCUGCCGUUGGACCUGUGUGCUCACCCUGGCUCUGGUGAUGCUCUUCUCUGCAUCACAAGGGCGUGCCUCCGGUCUGACUGUCGACUGCUGUAGGAACCUAACCUCCGACAGGAUCUGGAAAAUCAAAAAAUGUUUUGAACAGAAACCACGACAGGACUGCGAGCACGCCUUCCUGAUUCUAAACAGGAGGGGUCGAUCGUGCAUCAAACCAGAUGCUGAGUGGCUACAAGAGAAGAUAAGGACGGAAAAGCUCGUCUGUCCUCCUGAUUUGACGUUUUAAAAGAAGUCCUGGAAGAAGAAAAGCAAAGCAGCUACUCUGAACAUUUUCUGCUAAUUUACUAUUUAUUAUUUAACGUAAAUAUCUAUUUAAGUUAUUUUUGUAUUUAACUUUAUACUGCUAUAAAAACUGAAUUGUGUGGCAUUAUUUUGUAAAGUUAAGGACAGUAAAGUCAGAGCUGUUUGUUUUUAAACCUGGAACCAAAAAUAAAUCAUGUUAAACGGAUUUAAAAUGGGACUCUUGUUUUUCUACAUGUAGGUAUAGAUGUGUGUGUGUGUGUGUGUGUGUGUGUGUGUGUGUGUGUGUGUGUGUGUGUGUGUGUGUGUGUGUGUGUGCUGACUCAGAGUCACAUUUCUUUCAAAGCAGACUGGAAGGGUUGUAAUGGAGCAGGUUCAAAAAAGAACAUUGGGCCAGUAGCUUCUCUGUAGUUUAAAUCCUGCAGACAA
This 743-nucleotide long non-coding RNA is filed under the name Cottoperca gobio. RNAcentral describes it as "lncRNA (ENSCGOG00000022007.1)". The record is from RNAcentral. Lineage: Eukaryota; Metazoa; Chordata; Actinopteri; Perciformes; Bovichtidae.